GGGUUCCUGGCGUGCUGAUU
This 20-nucleotide microRNA is filed under the name Salmo salar (Atlantic salmon). Its description in RNAcentral is "ssa-miR-23b-5p". Its record names the gene ssa-miR-23b-5p. Lineage: Eukaryota; Metazoa; Chordata; Actinopteri; Salmoniformes; Salmonidae. The record is from miRBase by way of RNAcentral.